This 2559-nucleotide long non-coding RNA is filed under the name Erythranthe guttata (spotted monkey flower). RNAcentral's name for it is "long non-coding RNA (EGUT_LNC002605)". The record is from RNAcentral. Lineage: Eukaryota; Viridiplantae; Streptophyta; Magnoliopsida; Lamiales; Phrymaceae.
AUCUCGCGAGGCCAUGCUUUGUGCCGCCUGCAAGGGGUCGACCCGCGACUCGCGCAAAGAGAAUAACGAGGGCCCAAAGCGAAAUGGUCAGGGCCUUGAGUGAGAGGAAUGACUGGAAAAUGUUCUGGGAGUACUCUCAGGCUGAGGUUUUACGUAUUUGUUCCGAUUUCGGAAUAACUAAACUGGCGCUAAAAAAUUGCACUCUCAACACAGCCGGAAAAGAACACCUGCAAUAGAUCAACAAUAGGGUUUUCGGGGUGUUUUCUCUUUGUGUUUUUUCAGUUCCUAGGUUUAAAGGGAAGCUAGCAAAAUUAAGAUAGAGCGGACAGUGCACUAAUAUUGCACAUUGCGCUAAUAUUGCACAGUAUAACUAAAAACAUAUUACUUCUACCAUUCUAAUUUACAUUAUUACAAUUCCUUCUUCGGACUCUUCACAAUCAAGAAACGAAAUCAUUCGUACCAAACACCACUAUCUAGCAGCUUGUUAACCUAGACAGACUACAAGUGUUGUACAAGCAAAAUAUGACGAUCACUACCAAUUAAAAACUAAUUCAAAUUAUCUUGGUUACUCUGUUUGGAGUUAAUAUUAUCACAACUUCGUUCACCUAGAAUUCCCAAAUCGAACUUCCAAUUUAUUUACUCUCGACAUUUCUAGGUUAUUAUAUAUCAGUAUCUCUAACAAAGGAGUUACCAAAAUCAUACGCCAAUGAAUCAUUUCCUAAGAUUCUUUAUACACAAAUAAUAAGUUAAUCUUACAACAUAACCAAUCUAACAAAGUCAGGAGAAUAUCCUUUAUCAUUCUCAUCAACAAUGCCGAAAGCCAAUUAUUUAUCGGUAUCGACUUUGAAUAUCUGCAUAUCGUAAAUCAUAUAUUUACACCAAAUGAAUGAGAAAAUUCAAGUAUACAAUCUUAGUAUAUUUAGUACAGAGGAUCAAGAACUUACUUAUCUUACAUUCUGCCAACAUCUGUAAAAUGAAAUAUUGCUAAACGAGGCAAAAUAUUAUUUAUGAGGCAAAAUAUUAUGUAGUACCCUAAUAAAGAUUUGUUAUUCCAACGAUCAUUUAUUUCUUAUUUUCGUGAUAUUUGUAGGUAAAUAUUAAAAUCAUAAAUUACUGUAAAACAAAAUGUUAAAAUGUCUUCAUGAUUGUGACGUCAUAAUUAAAUGAAAUUAAUAAAAUCUGAUCCUGCAAAGUUAUCUUUGACUGCAAAAUCAAUAUUUAUGCAUUACUAUCAAAACUCAAAUCUGAGUCUGUAAAAUAAUUUUAAAUUAUAAAAUAUAUUCGUUUGAAUAUUAUAUAUAAAGUAAAUAGAGUGAAUGUAUAUAUAAUUAUAUAUUGUGAGUCUAAGUAUAAUUUAAUGAAAAUCUAUGUUAUGGAUUACAACUCGAGAAUAAUGAAAAUCUUGAUUAUGGAUUCAUUAAUUAAUAUUUUUCAAUUUCAUAAUCCACUAUUUUCUAAAAUGGAUUAACCAUAAUCCAAAAUUUACAAAAAUAAGAUUACACCUCAACCCUCACUUCACUCUCUAUAUAAAGUCACCACUCUCCUUCAUUUCAUUUCAUUCAUCAUCUAAAAAAACACAUUCUGCAGUAAAAAAAAAGAAAAAAUCUGCAUUCUUGAAAAGAAAUGGCCAAUGACAAUGCAUUGAAAGUGGAAAUGCUAGUCAUAUACAAAAAGUGUAUGCACAACCAUGCAGCCUCCACCAGAGGAUUCCUCCUCGACGGCUGCGGCCUCUUCGAGGCCCCUAGCGGCACCACCGCCGGGUCCCGCGAGGCCAUGUUCUGUGCCGUCUGCGGCUGCCACCGCAACUUCCACCAGAGAGUCGCGGUGGAAAUUCCACAACACUACCACUCCUCCCGCUCCUCCUCCGCCUCGCAACUCCACCAACAACAACAGCCCGCCUCCCACCCCCACCACCACCACCGUGGUGGCAGAGGCAACAUGAUCAUUUGCCGCGAACCGGCCUCUGCACAGGGCCGCUUCGCUCUCGAGUAGGCGGCGGCUCGUCGGCAGACGCCGGCAGCGAGCCCCGCCCUGACCACCUCUCCGGCCACCAGACAUGUACAGAGCCGAGCCCCACAUCGACAUGCGUCGGGCACCUCUGCACGACAGGGAGUGCCACCUCAGCAUGGGGUGCGUGCUACGCGCGCAAAGAGAAUAACGAGGGCCCAAAGCGAAAUGGUGAGGACCUUGACUGAGAGGAACAACUGGAAAAUGUUCCGGGAGUACUCUCAGGCCGAGGUUUUACGUAUUUGUUCCGAUUUCGGAAUAACUACACUGGCCCUCAAAAACUGCAUCUCUUCUCUACACAGGCGAAGAAGAAAAGCUGCAAUAGAUCAACACCAGGGUUUUCGUUUUAGUUUUUUUUUUCGGUUCCUAGGUCCAAAGAGAACUAGUGUUUAUUGUAAUAGAUGUAAUCUGUGUACUGAGAUGAUACUUGUCUUUAUCUUCCUUGUCCAAAAUUCAACUACACUAAUUAAAUUAUGAUAGAGCGAGCCGACACUGCACUAAUAUUGCUCAUAUAACUAAAAACGAAUUUCUUCAAACCAUUCUAAUGUAACC